RNAcentral lists this ribosomal RNA (1239 nucleotides) under metagenome. RNAcentral's name for it is "bacterial LSU rRNA". It matches the Rfam family "Bacterial large subunit ribosomal RNA", at positions 1564 to 2811 of the family's 2925-position model. The record is from RNAcentral.
UGAAUACGAGAUGCUACGGCGUCGAAGCAGUGUAUGUCAGACUUCCAAGAAAAGCUCGCAAUGUCAUAAAUAAAGAAUGCCUGUACCAUAACCGACACAGGUGGGUAGGUAGAGUAUACUAAGGGGCGCGAGAUAACUCUCUCUAAGGAACUCGGCAAAAUAACUCCGUAACUUCGGGAGAAGGAGUGCCUUCUUUAAGAAGGUUGCAAUAACAAGAUCCAAGCAACUGUUUAUCAAAAACACAGGUCUCCGCUAAGUCGUAAGACGAUGUAUGGGGGCUGACGCCUGCCCAGUGCCAGAAGGUUAAAGAAGUUGGUUAGCUUUUGCGAAGCUGAUGACUGAAGCCCUGGUGAACGGCGGCCGUAACAAUAACGGUCCUAAGGUAGCGAAAUUCCUUGUCGGGUAAGUUCCGACCCGCACGAAAGGCGUAAUGAUUUGGAUACUGUCUCGGAGAGGGACUCGGUGAAAUAGACUUGUCUGUGAAGAUGCGGACUACCUGCACCAGGACAGAAAGACCCUAUGAAGCUUUACUGUAACUUGAAAUUGAAAUUGGACUUUAUUUGCGCAGUAUAGGUGGAAGGCGUUGAAAGUAAUCUUGCGGGAUUAGUGGAGCCAUCAGUGAGAUACCACUCCUAUAAUGUUAGAUUUCUAACUUUGGAUCAUGAUCUGGUCAAAGAACAGUUUCAGGCGGGCAGUUUGACUGGGGCGGUCGCCUCCCAAAUGGUAACGGAGGCGUACAAAGGUUUCCUCUGAACGGGUAGAAAUCGUAUCUAGAGUGUAAAGGCAUAAGGAAGCUUGACUGUGAGACCUACAAGUCGAGCAGGGACGAAAGUCGGUCUUAGUGAUCUGACGGUGCUGAGUGGAAAGGCCGUCACUCAACGGAUAAAAGUUACUCUAAGGAUAACAGGCUGAUCUCCCCCAAGAGUUCACAUCGACGGGGAGGUUUGGCACCUCGAUGUCGGCUCAUCGCAUCCUGGGGCGGUAGUACGUCCCAAGGGUUGGGCUGUUCGCCCAUGAAAGCGGUACGCGAGCUGGGUUCAGAACGUCGUGAGACAGUUCGGUCCAUAUCCGGUGUAGGCGUUAGAAUAUUGAGAGGAGCCUUCUUUAGUACGAGAGGACCGAGAAGGACAUACCUCUGGUGUACCAGUUAUCGUGCCAACGGUAAACGCUGGGUAGCUAUGUAUGGAGAGGAUAACCGCUGAAAGCAUCUAAGUGGGAAGCCCACCUCAAGAUGAGUAU